CUAAACUUUGUCCUUAGGGAUACUCAGGUUCUUGUUCCAGUGCUGGUGGGACCCCAGGGAAGUUGCUUUACCUCUCUGAGCCUCCAUCUCUUCAUUGAAAUGGUCCCUGCUUCCCCAUGUCAGUGGGGUCAUUAAGGGAGAUGACUGGCAAUCACUCGGCUCAAAGUGGCUGCCAUCAACCUCAGAUCUGCCAUCACCUCCUCUCUCCUUGUGGCAGGCUGAGAGGAGGGAGAGGGACAGGGAACGUGCAUUAGAUGGCUUCCUGUUGCUAACACAAAUCCACGAAGUGGAGAAGUUAUAAAGAAAGAAUCUGAUUGUGACGUAAUGUUCUGAAGGUCCAAGGGCGGAGGGUUCACAUCUAGAGAUGGCCUCCUUUCUGGCCAAGUCUGGGGGCGGAUCAGGGUGUCUCGUAGUCUGGCUCCGGCCCCCAGAGGUGGAGGACAUCUCCAGCCUCUCAGUAGCUCACAGUGGGGAUUAGACGCCAACAGGGGCUUCCGAGGGGGCAAAUCACAUAAUGAGCCCUAGUGGGAGGGAGAGAAGUCACACACCCAGCAGCAGAGAGGAGGGAGGUCGCACAUCCUGGCCUCAUGGGAGAGAGGAGAGAGGUUCGGCAGGGUGAGGAGGUACCAAGGGCUGUGUCUUCUCCGUCAGUGCCCUUGACCCAGCACCACGCUGGCACAUACUUGGUUCACGGUGGAGCGAGGCGUGGCACAUUGCCACAUUGAAGAUGCCGGGGCUAGGGCUGGGGUGUGUGGGGCAGACACCACUUUCUCUCCCACCCACACGCGCCCCACUGGCUGGGGUUGCCAGCCUGCCGCUGGACCCUCGGCUCUCCUCGCAGUCUCCCGAUCUCUCCAGAACACCCACGUUUCUAUUCUGGCUCAUUUGUUUCUCUUCUGAAGUCCAUUGUUCACCCAGUUGCUCAUUUAAUCCACUGACUAAGCAGGAGGGAUCAAUUUUCUUUUCAAUACAAGAAGAUUGGCCAGCGCCAUUGUGGUCUGUCAUUCCAAGAUGGUGGGAGAAAUCUCUGAGGAAAGUUCUCACAGCAAGGAAAAAGAAGACUUGGGCCUCACCAAGAGCACAAGAAAGUACAUCUUAGACCUUCAAUGAUGCCAUUUAACCUCACAAUUAAAUAAAUUUAAG
Molecule: long non-coding RNA, 1143 nt
Filed under: Chinchilla lanigera (long-tailed chinchilla)
Lineage: Eukaryota; Metazoa; Chordata; Mammalia; Rodentia; Chinchillidae
Description: lncRNA (ENSCLAG00000024498.1)
Source: RNAcentral